GCGCAGGUGGUUCAGUGGUAGAAUGGCUGCCUCCCAGUUUGUGAGAGCUGUCGGCCCGGGUUCGAUUCCCGGCCUGCGCA
Non-coding RNA from Paraphysoderma sedebokerense, 80 nucleotides. Lineage: Eukaryota; Fungi; Blastocladiomycota; Physodermatomycetes; Physodermatales; Physodermataceae. The record is from the annotation of a GenBank genome assembly.